RNAcentral lists this ribosomal RNA (412 nucleotides) under uncultured eukaryote. Its description in RNAcentral is "SSU rRNA". It matches the Rfam family "Eukaryotic small subunit ribosomal RNA", at positions 567 to 981 of the family's 1831-position model. The record is from RNAcentral.
CCAGCAGCCGCGGUAAUUCCAGCUCCAAUAGCGUAUAUUAAAGUUGUUGCAGUUAAAAAGCUCGUAGUUGGAUUUCUGGUUGCAGCGACCGGUCCGCGUCCUCUGGGCGUGUGCACUUGAGCGCUGCUUCCAUUCUCGCGGGGAACCGGUUGGGGCGAGAGUCCUGGCCGAGGAUCCGCGUCGUUUACUGUGAAAAAAUUAGAGUGUUUAAAGCAGGCUUAUGCCGUUGAAUAUAUUAGCAUGGAAUAAUAAGAUAGGACGUAGGUACUAUUUUGUUGGUUUGCGCACCCACGUAAUGAUUAAUAGAGACAGGCGGGGCUAUUCGUAUUGCAUUGUCAGAGGUGAAAUUCUUGGAUUUCUGCAAGACGAACUACUGCGAAAGCAUUUAGCAAGGAUGUUUUCAUUGAUCAAG